Long non-coding RNA from Oncorhynchus masou masou (cherry salmon), 959 nucleotides. RefSeq lists it as uncharacterized. The transcript has 2 exons. NCBI's taxonomy places the organism in Eukaryota, Metazoa, Chordata, Actinopteri, Salmoniformes, Salmonidae. The record is from RefSeq and is a predicted model, not a curated record.
UUUCUGACAGGGGGCCCCAAUUUGUGUCCAAGUUUUGGCAAGAGUUUUGUAGGUUACUGGGAGCGAGUGUCAGCCUGUCUUCAGGGUUUCAUCCCCAGAGCAACGGUCAAACGGAGAGGGCCAACCAAGAUUUGGAGAGAGUGUUGCGAUGUUUGGUUUCUAAGAAUCCCUCUUCCUGGAGCCAACAACUCUCUAUGGUUGAGUACGCUCACAAUUCGUUGCCAGUGGCAGCCACGGGUCUCUCUCCGUUUAAGUGUAGUUUAGGUUACCAGCCACCUAUCUUUCCCAGUACGGAGUCCGAGGUCACUGUUCCCUCCGCUCACGCUUUCAUCCAGAGGUGCCGUCACGCAUGGAGCAGAGCCCGUGAGACUCUUCUCCGGGUGGGGGCGCGCACCAAGGCUAAGGCCGAUCGCCACCAGUCGAAGCCUCCGGUAUACGUCGUUGGCCAAAGAGUGUGGCUUUCUACUAAGAACAUUCCACUCCGAUCCGUUUCGAACAAGCUUGCCCCCAAAUUUAUCGGCCCGUUCAAAGUCACCAGGAUCAUUAGUCCGGUGGCGGUCCGGCUUAAGCUUCCUCCGGCGUAUAGGAGAAUUCAUCCUACCUUUCAUGUGUCUAAAAUAAAACCUGUGUUUCAGGCACCCAUUAACCCGCCGGUCCCGGUUCCCCCGCCGCCACGACUUGUUGAGGGGGAACCCACCUUUUCUGUCAAUCGUAUUUUGGACUCUAGAAGGAGGGGACGCGGAUUCCAGUACCUGGUGGACUGGGAGGGUUACGGCCCGGAGGAGAGAAGUUGGGUGCCUGCUAGGGACAUUCUGGAUCACUCCCUUAUCGAUGAUUUCAAUCGACAGCACGCUAUCAUCGGAAGAUGCGCCCGAGUCCCUGGGUCGGAUUCCGUCUGAGUACAGUCUGUCUGUCCUGUUGCUGCUGUAAACUGUAUUCAUUAAACCAUCGUUGCUUGC